CUUGGUGUACCCGUUGAGGGUGUAACACUUGGCGUUCCUGUCGAUGGGGUUACGCUCGGUGUACCCGUCGAUGGUGUGACACUUGGUGUUGCUGUAGAGGGUGUUACACUUGGUGUUCCAGUGCUUGUUGGAGUAACACUUGGGGUACCUGUUGAGGGUGUGACACUUGGUGUACCAGAGGUAGUUGGCGUGACACUUGGUGUUCCCGUUGAAGGUGUGACACUUGGUGUCCCUGUUGUUGAGGGUGUGACACUAGGUGUUCCUG
Saccostrea echinata is the source of this 265-nucleotide long non-coding RNA. RefSeq lists it as uncharacterized. The transcript has 3 exons. The record is from RefSeq and is a predicted model, not a curated record. Lineage: Eukaryota; Metazoa; Mollusca; Bivalvia; Ostreida; Ostreidae.